Molecule: ribosomal RNA, 469 nt
Filed under: uncultured bacterium
Lineage: Bacteria
Description: bacterial SSU rRNA
Rfam family: Bacterial small subunit ribosomal RNA
Source: RNAcentral
CGCUGGCGGCAUGCUUUACACACGCAAGUCGAACGGCAGCGCGGGCUUCGGCCUGGCGGCGAGUGGCGAACGGGUGAGUAAUAUAUCGGAACGUACCCAAGGGUGGGGGAUAACGUAGCGAAAGUUACGCUAAUACCGCAUACGAUCUAAGGAUGAAAGCAGGGGAUCGCAAGACCUUGUGCUCCUGGAGCGGCCGAUAUCUGAUUAGCUAGUUGGUGGGGUAAAGGCCCACCAAGGCAACGAUCAGUAGCUGGUCUGAGAGGACGACCAGCCACACUGGAACUGAGACACGGUCCAGACUCCUACGGGAGGCAGCAGUGGGGAAUUUUGGACAAUGGGGGCAACCCUGAUCCAGCAAUGCCGCGUGAGUGAAGAAGGCCUUCGGGUUGUAAAGCUCUUUUGUCAGGGAAGAAAAGGCUGUGGCUAAUAUCCACAGCUGCUGACGGUACCUGAAGAAUAAGCACCGGCU